Molecule: ribosomal RNA, 253 nt
Filed under: uncultured bacterium
Lineage: Bacteria
Description: partial 16S ribosomal RNA
Rfam family: Bacterial small subunit ribosomal RNA
Source: RNAcentral
UACGAAGGGGGCUAGCGUUGCUCGGAAUCACUGGGCGUAAAGGGCGCGUAGGCGGAUCUUUAAGUCGGGGGUGAAAGCCCAGGGCUCAACCCUGGAAUUGCCUUCGAUACUGAAGAUCUCGAGACCGGAAGAGGUAAGUGGAACUGCGAGUGUAGAGGUGAAAUUCGUAGAUAUUCGCAAGAACACCAGUGGCGAAGGUGGCUUACUGGUCCGGUUCUGACGCUGAGGCGCGAAAGCGUGGGGAGCAAACAGG